AUUGAACGCUGGCGGCAUGCCUUACACAUGCAAGUCGAACGGCAGCACGGGUGCUUGCACCUGGUGGCGAGUGGCGAACGGGUGAGUAAUGCGUCGGAACGUACCCGGAAGUGGGGAUAACGUAGCGAAAGUUACGCUAAUACCGCAUAUUCUGUGAGCAGGAAAGAGGGGGAUCGCAAGACCUCUCGCUUUCGGAGCGGCCGAUGUCGGAUUAGCUAGUUGGCGGGGUAAAGGCCCACCAAGGCGACGAUCCGUAGCGGGUCUGAGAGGAUGAUCCGCCACACUGGGACUGAGACACGGCCCCAGACUCCUACGGGAGGCAGCAGUGGGGAAUUUUGGACAAUGGGCGCAAGCCUGAUCCAGCCAUGCCGCGUGAGUGAAGAAGGCCUCGGGUUGCAAAGCUCUUUCGGCUGGAAGAAAUCGCAUCUCCUAAUACGGGGUGUGGAUGACGGUACCGGCAUAAGAAGCACCGGCUAACUACGUGCCAGCAGCCGCGGUAAUACGUAGGGUGCGAGCGUUAAUCGGAAUUACUGGGCGUAAAGCGUGCGCAGGCGGUUUCGUAAGACAGACGUGAAAUCCCCGGGCUCAACCUGGGAACUGCGUUUGUGACUGCGAGGCUAGAGUAUGGCAGAGGGGGGUGGAAUUCCACGUGUAGCAGUGAAAUGCGUAGAGAUGUGGAGGAACACGAUGCGAAGGCAGCCCCUGGGCAAUACUGACGCUCAUGCACGAAAGCGUGGGGAGCAAACAGGAUUAGAUACCCUGGUAGU
Molecule: ribosomal RNA, 767 nt
Filed under: uncultured bacterium
Lineage: Bacteria
Description: bacterial SSU rRNA
Rfam family: Bacterial small subunit ribosomal RNA
Source: RNAcentral